UGUGAGCUCGAUGAGUAGGGCGGGACACGUGGUAUCCUGUCUGAAUAUGGGGGGACCAUCCUCCAAGGCUAAAUACUCCUGACUGACCGAUAGUGAACCAGUACCGUGAGGGAAAGGCGAAAAGAACCCCGGCGAGGGGAGUGAAAAAGAACCUGAAACCGUGUACGUACAAGCAGUGGGAGCCUCUUAAUGGGGUGACUGCGUACCUUUUGUAUAAUGGGUCAGCGACUUAUAUUCUGUAGCAAGGUUAACCGAAUAGGGGAGCCGAAGGGAAACCGAGUCUUAACUGGGCGUUAAGUUGCAGGGUAUAGACCCGAAACCCGGUGAUCUAGCCAUGGGCAGGUUGAAGGUUGGGUAACACUAACUGGAGGACCGAACCGACUAAUGUUGAAAAAUUAGCGGAUGACUUGUGGCUGGGGGUGAAAGGCCAAUCAAACCGGGAGAUAGCUGGUUCUCCCCGAAAGCUAUUUAGGUAGCGCCUCGUGAAUUCAUCUCCGGGGGUAGAGCACUGUUUCGGCAAGGGGGUCAUCCCGACUUACCAACCCGAUGCAAACUGCGAAUACCGGAGAAUGUUAUCACGGGAGACACACGGCGGGUGCUAACGUCCGUCGUGAAGAGGGAAACAACCCAGACCGCCAGCUAAGGUCCCAAAGUCAUGGUUAAGUGGGAAACGAUGUGGGAAGGCCCAGACAGCCAGGAUGUUGGCUUAGAAGCAGCCAUCAUUUAAAGAAAGCGUAAUAGCUCACUGGUCGAGUCGGCCUGCGCGGAAGAUGUAACGGGGCUAAACCAUGCACCGAAGCUGCGGCAGCGACACUAUGUGUUGUUGGGUAGGGGAGCGUUCUGUAAGCCUGUGAAGGUGGCCUGUGAGGGUUGCUGGAGGUAUCAGAAGUGCGAAUGCUGACAUAAGUAACGAUAAAGCGGGUGAAAAGCCCGCUCGCCGGAAGACCAAGGGUUCCUGUCCAACGUUAAUCGGGGCAGGGUGAGUCGACCCCUAAGGCGAGGCCGAAAGGCGUAGUCGAUGGGAAACAGGUUAAUAUUCCUGUACUUGGUGUUACUGCGAAGGGGGGACGGAGAAGGCUAUGUUGGCCGGGCGACGGUUGUCCCGGUUUAAGCGUGUAGGCUGGUUUUCCAGGCAAAUCCGGAAAACCAAGGCUGAGGCGUGAUGA
Molecule: ribosomal RNA, 1166 nt
Filed under: Escherichia coli
Lineage: Bacteria; Pseudomonadati; Pseudomonadota; Gammaproteobacteria; Enterobacterales; Enterobacteriaceae
Description: partial 23S ribosomal RNA
Rfam family: Bacterial large subunit ribosomal RNA
Source: RNAcentral